This is a non-coding RNA of Phrynosoma platyrhinos (Desert horned lizard), 72 nucleotides long. The record is from the annotation of a GenBank genome assembly. NCBI's taxonomy places the organism in Eukaryota, Metazoa, Chordata, Lepidosauria, Squamata, Phrynosomatidae.
GCCAGGGUGGAGUAGUGGUUUGAGCAUUAGAUUAUGACUCUAGGGAUCAGGGUUCAAAUCCCUGCUUGGCCA